This 433-nucleotide ribosomal RNA is filed under the name uncultured bacterium. RNAcentral describes it as "partial 16S ribosomal RNA". It matches the Rfam family "Bacterial small subunit ribosomal RNA", at positions 28 to 507 of the family's 1533-position model. The record is from RNAcentral.
GACGAACGCUGGCGGCGUGCCUAAUACAUGCAAGUCGAACGAAACCAUCGGGACUAUGGUCGCACGGCGUCAGAACGGGUGGGGACCUUCCCAUAGGUUUCGAAUACCUCUCCGACAGGGAUACUAACACCGGACAAUAUCUUAUGACGACAGAUUUAUCGCCCUUGGUUGGGCACGCGUUGGAUUAGCUUGUUGGGAGGCUAAAAGAAGACUAAGGGGACGAUCCAUAGGUUGGUUGGGAGGAUGAUCAGCCACACUGCGACUGAGAAACGGCCCAGACUCCUACGGGAGGGAGCAGUGGGGAAUAUUGGACAAUGGGCGAAAGCCUGAACCAGCAAUGCCGCGUGAGUGCUGAAGGCCUUAGGGUUGUAAAGCUCUUUUACCCGGGAUGAUAAUGACAGUACCGGGAGAAUAAGCUCCGGCUAACUACGUG